CUGGGUUUGACAUACCGAGAAAUCCUCCAGAGAUGGUGGGUCCGUAAGGGUUCGGUACAGGUGGUGCAUGGCUGUCGUCAGCUCGUGUCGUGAGAUGUUGGGUUAAGUCCCGCAACGAGCGCAACCCUCGUUCCAUGUUGCCAGCAACACGAUCCUUGCCUUCGGGUGGGGGGAGUGGUUGGGGACUCAUGGGAGACUGCCGGGGUCAACUCGGAGGAAGGUGGGGAUGACGUCAAGUCAUCAUGCCCCUUAUGUCCAGGGCUUCGCGCAUGCUACAAUGGCCGGUACAAAGGGCUGCGAUCCCGUGAGGGGGAGCGAAUCCCAAAAAGCCGGUCUCAGUUCGGAUUGGGGUCUGCAACUCGACCCCAUGAAGUCGGAGUCGCUAGUAAUCGCAGAUCAGCAACGCUGCGGUGAAUACGUUCCC
This 424-nucleotide ribosomal RNA is filed under the name uncultured bacterium. RNAcentral describes it as "bacterial SSU rRNA". It matches the Rfam family "Bacterial small subunit ribosomal RNA", at positions 975 to 1375 of the family's 1533-position model. The record is from RNAcentral.